Molecule: ribosomal RNA, 495 nt
Filed under: uncultured bacterium
Lineage: Bacteria
Description: partial 16S ribosomal RNA
Rfam family: Bacterial small subunit ribosomal RNA
Source: RNAcentral
UGAACGCUGGCGGCGUGCCUAAUACAUGCAAGUCGAGCGAACAGACGAGGAGCUUGCUCCUCUGACGUUAGCGGCGGACGGGUGAGUAACACGUGGAUAACCUACCUAUAAGACUGGGAUAACUUCGGGAAACCGGAGCUAAUACCGGAUAAUAUAUUGAACCGCAUGGUUCAAUAGUGAAAGACGGUUUUGCUGUCACUUAUAGAUGGAUCCGCGCCGCAUUAGCUAGUUGGUAAGGUAACGGCUUACCAAGGCGACGAUGCGUAGCCGACCUGAGAGGGUGAUCGGCCACACUGGAACUGAGACACGGUCCAGACUCCUACGGGAGGCAGCAGUAGGGAAUCUUCCGCAAUGGGCGAAAGCCUGACGGAGCAACGCCGCGUGAGUGAUGAAGGUCUUCGGAUCGUAAAACUCUAUUAUUAGGGAAGAACAAAUGUGUAAGUAACUAUGCACGUCUUGACGGUACCUAAUCAGAAAGCCACGGCUAACUACGUG